GCAUCAAUGGGGUAGUGGUAACCUGGGUCGUUGCCAUUGUACUCCUCUUCUCGAGGUACCAAGCGGUUAAUUUCGACCCGCCGGGGGUUCAAUUCCCCCUUGAUGCA
This 107-nucleotide transfer RNA is filed under the name Ephemerocybe angulata. RNAcentral describes it as "Coprinellus angulatus tRNA-Gly". It matches the Rfam family "tRNA". Rfam says of the family: Transfer RNA (tRNA) molecules are approximately 80 nucleotides in length. Their secondary structure includes four short double-helical elements and three loops (D, anti-codon, and T loops). Further hydrogen bonds mediate the characteristic L-shaped molecular structure. tRNAs have two regions of fundamental functional importance: the anti-codon, which is responsible for specific mRNA codon recognition, and the 3' end, to which the tRNAs corresponding amino acid is attached (by aminoacyl-tRNA synthetases). tRNAs cope with the degeneracy of the genetic code in two manners: having more than one tRNA (with a specific anti-codon) for a particular amino acid; and 'wobble' base-pairing, i.e. permitting non-standard base-pairing at the 3rd anti-codon position. Lineage: Eukaryota; Fungi; Basidiomycota; Agaricomycetes; Agaricales; Psathyrellaceae. The record is from RNAcentral.